Molecule: non-coding RNA, 71 nt
Organism: Orycteropus afer afer
Lineage: Eukaryota; Metazoa; Chordata; Mammalia; Tubulidentata; Orycteropodidae
Source: the annotation of a RefSeq genome assembly
GCAUUGGUGGUUCAAUGAUAGAAUUCUUGCCUUCCAUGCAAGAGGCCUGGGUUCAAUUCCCAGUCAGUGCA